UGAAUGAAUUAAGAUCUUUAUGGCAAGAAAGAAUUCCUUUUUUUUUGUCCCCAUGUGUAUGCUGCCUCCCUCCCUCCUUCCCUUUUCCCCUCUCACCCUCUUGUUUCUUACAUUCUGCUUUUUGCUAUGAGAUGAUAGAUAUAGUGAGAAGGUAUUCACCAGGCAUUGUCCUCAAUUUUAGAUUUCCAGCCUCCAGAAUAGUCAGAGAUUUCUACCUGUCAGAAAUUACCCAGUGUACAACAUUCUUUUAGAGCAGCGCAAGAUCAACAACUAGAAGAAGUUGGUUCCAGAAGAGUAGGGCGUUCCUGUAAUAAGCAUCUGAAAAUGUGGACAUAGUUUUAGAAUUGAGUAAUUAGAAGAGGCAUUUGGAGAGGCAGGCUAGAAACAGCCUGGGUUGCUGUAAGCAGAGUGUUAGAGGAAGUUGUCAUGAGGGCUUAGCAAGGAGAGCUGUAGGGAAAGUGAAUUUUAAGAUACCACAAAUGGGAUGCCCAAGACUGUUCUGAGGAAGCAGAAAUAGAAACUAAGUGUUGAGAACUGGAGUAAAGGUUAUCAUUGUUCCAAGCUGAAAAGAAGGUCAUUAUGUAUGUGACAAGGCGUUCUACAGGAUGAAUCUUAAGAUUGUUCUCAAGAUACCUAGUGGAAGAAAUCUCCUUUCUUUGUUAUACAGGGGACUGAACCCAGACCCUAGCACAUGGCACUGCAGUACUUCCGCUGCUGUCUUCCAUCUUACUGGAUCAUAAGGAGUAUCCCAACCCAGAGACAUUUGACCCAGGACACUUUCUGGAUUACGAUGGCUGCUUCAAGAAAACAGACUGCUUUGUUCCUUUCUCCCUUGGAUGUGGUCCUGCAUUGGUGAGAGUUUGGCUCAUAUGGAGCUGUUACUGUUCUUCACCACCAUUCUGCAAAAGUUUUCCCUAAAGUCUCGGGUGGAGCCAAGAGACCUAGAUAGCAACCCCAUUGCUACUGGGCUUAUCAGUCUUCCCCCACCUUAAAAAUUGUGUCUCAUUUCUAGAUAAGAGUUUAUUCUUUUAGUCAUUCAAAUCGAAGUGAUUGGUUCCUUUUUCUAUAAUCUCUUUAUUCUUAGCACUGGCUAGUCUAGCAACAUUAUUCAUUAAAACCACAUGGACAUUUUUGUCUGUAUUCCUCACCUCCUCUAUAAACCAGACCCCAAAACUGACAGCAGGUCCCAGAAGGCCUUCAUCAGACGCUAUCAGCAAGUAGCAGAGCUUCUUCUUAUAUGGCUUGGAAAUAAACUUAUUUUCUGUCACUUUUACAACAGAGAAAUUAAUGUAUGGCCUACAUACUUUUUCCCGUUCUCAGGUCAAAGUAUUUAUAUGGUUUGUAUCACAUUCACAAAACAAAUUUUUAUCCCAACAAUAGAGUUUCUUUGUAAGUUUGACUUUAUCUUGUCGUAAAAACAAAAACAAAGCAAAACAAAGAACUCUCUUUGACCCAUAGAUAAUCCACUAGAAGGAUGAGAUAAAUAGGUAAUCUGUCACAAUGCUCUCCCUACUCCCCCUCCCAUCUGUUUGCAGUCAUUGGUUUGCAUGUGGCCCAGAGAGCAUCCUUAAGAAGUUAAACCACAUCCAGUGUUAGGACUCAGACGUUCAUGACUGGGCCCUUUUGACAGUCACAGGACUGGAAUUAGGGGCAAAGAGCAAGAGGGCCAGUUGCAGAAAGACUACACCUUGCCAAGAGGACAGUGGGUACACAGGAGAACAGCAAUGACAGCUGCUCUAGAAAUGGCAGAGUUCAGUGAGCAGCAGCUGCCACCAAUUGGGUCAAAAACCAACAACCAGACCUGCCUGAUCUGGGGACACUGGAAAUGAGAAAGAGUGUGAAAAUAAAGCUGAGACAGGAGAAUGGAAAGACAAGCUGCAGAAAAUGUUCUCAAAGGAUGUGUCUCAUGAAGAAUGAUUACCCCAAAUACUCUGAAAACUCAAUUUGAGGUUGAAACAGUUAAAAACAGGGCAUAAGAGCUGAAGAGACACCUCACUUCUGGAGACACACAACUGACAAAUAAGCCAGUGAGAAGUUGCGCAGCAUUGUACCUCAGUCAAAGAGAUGCAAAUAAAGAAGAGAUGCGUUCACAGCCUUCAGAAACGUUGAAGCUGAACACAGCCUUCAUCUCUCACUGAGAUGCGAAGCUGGAGCAGUGACCCUGUUGACUGGAAUGCAAAACCAUACAGCCACCUUAUAAGACAGCUUAGCUGUUUCUUACAAAGCUAAGCAUAUGCUCAGUGUAUGACCCAGCACUUAUGAAAAGUAGUUAGGCAAUAGACAAACUAGGCUAGUGAUAACCAGGCAGGAAGAGGGGAAUGGAGCAAGUCUUUAUUGAAAAUAGAGUUUCAGAGGAAGGUAAAAAUGCUCCAACUAGAUGUGGUGAGGGAUGGUUACACAAUGAUGCAAAUGUAUACAGUGUCAUUGGGAAAUGUCACUUUCCAUGUGGUGAAGACAGAAAAUGCUAUGUCAUGUGUAACUUACAUGUAUGAAAAUGUAUAUGUAGCUGGAAGUUUCGCUCCUGCCCACCAGUUCUCAACCGCUCUGAGGCUUAAUAUUAAUUACAAACUGUUUGGCCUAUUAGCUCAGGCUUA
Myodes glareolus (Bank vole) is the source of this 2594-nucleotide long non-coding RNA. RefSeq lists it as uncharacterized. The record is from RefSeq and is a predicted model, not a curated record. Lineage: Eukaryota; Metazoa; Chordata; Mammalia; Rodentia; Cricetidae.